UACGUAGGGAGCAAGCGUUGUCCGGAAUCAUUGGGCGUAAAGGGCGCGUAGGCGGCCUCAUAAGUCCGUUGUGAAAGUCAAAGGCUCAACCUUUGAAAGCCGAUGGAUACUGUGAGGCUAGAGUCCGGAAGAGGCGAGUGGAAUUCCUGGUGUAGCGGUGGAAUGCGCAGAUAUCAGGAGGAACACCAAUAGCGAAGGCAGCUCGCUGGGACGGUACUGACGCUAAGGCGCGAAAGCGUGGGGAGCGAACAGG
RNAcentral lists this ribosomal RNA (253 nucleotides) under uncultured bacterium. RNAcentral describes it as "partial 16S ribosomal RNA". It matches the Rfam family "Bacterial small subunit ribosomal RNA", at positions 524 to 776 of the family's 1533-position model. The record is from RNAcentral.